AUUGAACGCUGGCGGCAUGCCUUACACAUGCAAGUCGAACGGCAGCACGGGAGCAAUCCUGGUGGCGAGUGGCGAACGGGUGAGUAAUGUAUCGGAACGUGCCCAGUUGUGGGGGAUAACGUAGCGAAAGCUACGCUAAUACCGCAUACGAUCUAUGGAUGAAAGCGGGGGAUCGCAAGACCUCGCGCGAUUGGAGCGGCCGAUAUCAGAUUAGGUAGUUGGUGGGGUAAAGGCUCACCAAGCCGACGAUCUGUAGCUGGUCUGAGAGGACGACCAGCCACACUGGGACUGAGACACGGCCCAGGCUCCUACGGGAGGCAGCAGUGGGGAAUUUUGGACAAUGGGCGCAAGCCUGAUCCAGCAAUGCCGCGUGCAGGAUGAAGGCCUUCGGGUUGUAAACUGCUUUUGUACGGAACGAAACGGCGAGCUCUAAUACAGUUUGCUAAUGACGGUACCGUAAGAAUAAGCACCGGCUAACUACGUGCCAGCCGCCGCAGUAA
Molecule: ribosomal RNA, 500 nt
Filed under: uncultured bacterium
Lineage: Bacteria
Description: partial 16S ribosomal RNA
Rfam family: Bacterial small subunit ribosomal RNA
Source: RNAcentral